Non-coding RNA from Nomia melanderi (Alkali bee), 4306 nucleotides. Lineage: Eukaryota; Metazoa; Arthropoda; Insecta; Hymenoptera; Halictidae. The record is from RefSeq and is a predicted model, not a curated record.
GCACAUUCAUUAUCGUGAAUAGUAAAUCACUCCGGAAUAGAAUACGGCGUCGACGAUAGGUAUAAAAUUGAUAAAACAUUCAUUUUAAACAAAAUAAACUCUGUAUAUUAGAAAAAAUAAUAGGAAAUUGUUAAUACUUUAAAAUAAGUUUAUACGCAAUCUUCACACUAUAAUAUUCGCUGCUAUUUCUAUAUUAAUAACAAUGAUUAAUUUUUUCGAUGACUAUUUAAACAUGAUGAAAUAUAAUCACACUAUAGAAAAACGCGAACUAUGACCAUCGACAGUAUGUACUUACUUAAGUACUCUUUCGUCCGGCUAUGACCUGUCACAAUUAGCAUCAGCGCUUCGAGUGGUAUGUUCCACAAGUUUAUAGCUAUACAUUUUCAAAGAAUAUGCAGGCCUUAGUGUUGAACAUUUCUAAGAAAAUACGUUACUGCCUAAAACAAAAUGGACCAAUGAGAUGUAAAUCACGUGAGAACCCGGGUUGCCGUUGUUAUUUUGAUGAACUUUAUUUCCCAAGUAAAUGAAGAGUAGAACAUAUAGAUAUACGUUUUGUGUGUUUAAUGUGCAAAUUAUUAUAACCUCACUGCGUAUCUGACACGUUACAACUCGUUUAGUACCCGGCUAUUUAUGCCUAAUCGACAUAAAUACAUGACUAUUGCCGAAUACAGAAAUUUGAUUGAGACGAAUGACCAAUCAUAACAAGACUGAACCAAAUAAAAGAGCGAAUAAUAAUAACAUGAGGAAUAGAACUGCCCUUACAAUAGGACAGAAAAUUGAAAUUUCUGAAAAAUUGGAAUGUGGUAUGUCUGUCAGGAAUUUAGCUAUCGAGUAUCAGAUUCACCCUACCACUGUACGCCGCAUUCGACGAAAUGUAAUAUCAAUGCAUCACCUUGCGGAGCAAGGAAUCCAAAUACGUAAACGAAAAAAACUACGGAAACCUGCAUUUGAGGAUAUAGAAAAUCGUUUAUACGUAUGGUGGUUGGAACAAAAGACAUUGGGAGAUCCAGUCACAGAUUUAUUAUUACAUAAUAAAGCAUUAGAGCUAAACAAGGAAUUUGGUGGACCUUCAACGUUUAAAGCAAGCGCAGGCUGGAUAGCAAAAUUUAAAAAUCGUCACAAUAUACGAUUAUUACAUAAAUUUGAAGAAGAUGAAAAUGUCGAUAUGGUAGAAGACGAACAAGGAGAACAAGAAGACGCAGAGGAAGCACUUGAAGAAAAAGAACAAAUUGAAUAUUAUGAGGAAGACACCAGCAAAAUAGAAAUACAACACGCAUUAGAAACUUUAACAAAAUAUGCAGAACAAGCUCCACGUUUUAUUAAAUUAACAGUGGAAAAUUUGAAAGACUUUUUUCUGAGAGAAGAGACUUAAAAGGAGCACCAAAGGAUAUGCGAGAAAAUGGGUUAGUCACCAAUUUCAGAAAAGAUAAGUUAUAUUUCUUAAGUACGUAUAAUGUUCUGUUUUUCUUUUGGUAGUAAUUUUUUGUUUUCUUGUUUAUAGCAUGAGGCAUUCUAAGUAAAGGAAGUGAUACUACGGGUAUCAACUAAAAAAGACAUGAUGGAUUGGAGUAUGAAGAAAAUAUAAAGAUUGUGCUUGUCUAGAAUCAAAAAAUCCAGGAAAGAUGGACAUUAACUUUGGAACAUCAUUUUUUACAUACAAGUCAAUAAGAUAUAUGUUACAUGUAAAUAUCAAAAUAAUUAUCUUUGUAAAUAAUGUAUGUAAUCUGUAUAUAUAGCAAUAAUACUGCAUAAAAUACGAUAAGAUAAUUUAGUAUAUCUAUUUUAUAUUGGAAAUUUUCUCUAACCUGAGUAGUGAAGUUGUUUUCGUUUAUUUUAACAACAAUGAAAAUAUUUAAAAUAGAAUAUUGUUUACUUUGGAAGAAAAAAUAUUUCAACAACUUCUUUCUACACAUACUUUAUAAGAUUCUUAAACAUUUUCUCAGCAUCAAAUAGAAUUAAUAUAUUUAGCAUUUUCUUGUACUUACUCUAUAACAUUAUAUUUUAUAAACUUUACUUAAUUAUGAUGCUAUUAUUAAUAAAAAGAAGUUUGUAACAACAUCCAAUAUAAUUCGAAGAAAUGUAAGAGUAUAUCAGUUAAUGUAUUAUUAAUAUCUUACUGAUUGGUGAUUUUGUUUGAAAACUUUUCUGUGCAGUAAAUUAUUCUUUCAUAAAUGAAUAUGAAAUGAAAACAUCUUACAUACACUACAUACAACAUAUUAAAAUGGUUCAAACUAUGUAAUGAAUACAACCUAGAAUACCCUUAGGGAUCUACGUUACUCAGACUGGAGUAACGUUUUUUCAACGUGUCCCACUUCUAGUGCUAUAUAAACUUGGCUGCCCUUGAAAUGUCGAUAGAUUACUUGUAUAAUUUCGAUAUAACGUUAUCUUUAUGCAUGAGCGGUGCUCAAAGCCAGCAUGCUCAAUACAUACGUUUACGCCACUAUCGCGCAUUGUGUUUUUUUCGUACGUUUCCUAUUGCCAUUUAAGUGGCAAUAUUAAAAUUAUAUUGACAAAUUAUAUUUUAAUGACAUUAUUAUUUCCGUUUGCCAUUGUGCGACAGGAAGUGCUUAAUGUUGCAACGAGCGAUGCAUUCUUAUAUUGAAGAUAAAACGGUGUAUGUAUGGCUAAUAUUUCUACUUAUAUGGAAUAGGACAAUUUCCGGAGGAGAUGACCAUAUUUUCUUUGAAACGCAUUUAAAUGGAAACUAAGAGAAUCAGAACACCAGAUUUGACUUCUAAUCAAACUUCAAUUAAUUUCACUUGUAUUAGUUACUUCUCAAAUUGAAAUAUUCGUCUCCCCGAAUUUGGUACGCAAGGCAUGAGGAAUAUUAUUAACAAUACGAAAUUGCAAUGAAUUAUUCUGUAUAUUUAACACCGGUGGCGUAUAUAAAAAAGCAUUUUUACAUUAGAUUAUACCAAAAUAUAUGUAAUUGUUAUUACAACAGUGCUGAUAGUUGGUAUCAUGUUAUAUUUGGACUAUCGUAUCUGCGAUUGUCUUAUGUCCACUUAAAGUAAAGUAAUAUAUGAGGUUCAAUCGGAAAUCCUUGGAAUUACCAUGGUUGUCCAGUAAUUCUUAAUCCUUGGUAGUUGCCUGGUAUUGUUUGCUUAGAGGACGUACGGCUGAUAAAAAUCGUAAGUAUAGACAGUAGGUGCAUACAACGAAGGGACGGUCCACACCAAUCUCUUAUUUCUAGGCAUAUCCGGAGAAGCGGCACCUGAUUCCGGCUCAAUAUUUUCAACUUCGGCGGGUUUCGGUUUCGCUUCAAUGAAAGCAACGGCGAAGAGAGCCAGAAGAACGAUUGCCUAUAUACGAAAAAAUAAACAAUUCUGUACAUUGAUUAUUUCACUGUAUAGCAUAACGGCAGCGAAGCACUUUAAUUAUCUAGAAUUGUUCACUAGCACGAAUUAGGGAUGGAUGAAGCAAGAAAAUGAGUUAUUGUUUGCACAUAUAUCAACACCUAUUACUUAUUAUCCAAAUCAAUACUAACAAUAGUAGCUAAAGUCACUCCAAGUUUCAAAAAAAAGAAAAAUAUACUUAAUCGUUUGCAGUCUUGGAUCGAGACAGACUCGACAUUGGAUUUCGUUUUUAAUUUUUCUUGCAAUGACAUCAUACAUAAGUAUCAUUUUACGGCUGGUCAGAUAUUCUCGAACUACAAGAUGCGUGUAAACUACAGUAAAAUAGUUAAUUUAACCGAUAGGGCAAAAUGAAAGGCGGUGAUUUUGGAUGUCUUCAUCUCAUCGUAAUAGGUUUGGUAUCGCAAGUAAGAUAGACCGAAGCAAAUUGGAUCGAAAUAACAAUCCAGUCCACAUUUGUUAUGUUGCAAAUGGUAUUUUUCAUUUUUUGUUUUGUAUUUACAAAAGGAAGAUUUGUAAACUUUUUUUCACUUUCUGUUAUUAAUGUCCAAGUAUUUUUAUUUCUUUACUGCCAAACAAAAGACAAUUCGACUCGCCUCGGUCUACCCUAUUAUCCAGUGCAGAAAUCCAAUAGACAAGACGUAAUAAUUUUAUGAUCAAGAAUCAUAUUCGAUGUACUUACAGCGAAGUACUUCAUGGUUGGUGCGUUUGGUGGAGUCUUCGAGAUCAGCUUCUGUAUUCAACUGGAACUGAAUGAUGCUCCAGCUUUCUGAUGGAUAUCCUUAUAUACCUGGCGAAAGAAUGAUCUUGUACGCAUCAUUUUCGGAUUAAUUAUCAUACAAGGAAAAAUGUGUCGUGGCUACACCCUUGCUUCACGAGUAUGCGUGAGCCAGAGGAUGGUGUACGGCGUUGUUACGUGUUUUCUGAUUUCCGGAACCACAUUCAUAAUCCAU